Molecule: ribosomal RNA, 329 nt
Filed under: uncultured eukaryote
Lineage: Eukaryota
Description: partial 18S ribosomal RNA
Rfam family: Eukaryotic small subunit ribosomal RNA
Source: RNAcentral
CCCUUAGAUGUCCUGGGCUGCACGCGCGCUACACUGAUGUGUCCAGUAAGCACCUAACCUAUUCCGAGAGGAGCGGGUAACCUUAGCAAAGCACAUCGUGAUGGGGAUAGAUUAUUGCAAUUAUUAGUCUUGAACGAGGAAUUCCUAGUAAACGCAAGUCAUCAGCUUGCAUUGAUUACGUCCCUGCCCUUUGUACACACCGCCCGUCGCUCCUACCGAUUGAAUGAUCCGAUGAAUAUCAUGGAUUGAGGAUUAUAGCAGGUUCGCCUGUCUUGAUCUUCGAGAAGUGAAGUAAUUCUUAUCAUUUAGAGGAAGGAGAAGUCGUAACA